RNAcentral lists this RNase P RNA (412 nucleotides) under Candidatus Palauibacterales bacterium. RNAcentral's name for it is "RNase P RNA component class A". It matches the Rfam family "Bacterial RNase P class A". From Rfam's summary of the family: Ribonuclease P (RNase P) is a ubiquitous endoribonuclease, found in archaea, bacteria and eukarya as well as chloroplasts and mitochondria. Its best characterised activity is the generation of mature 5'-ends of tRNAs by cleaving the 5'-leader elements of precursor-tRNAs. Lineage: Bacteria; Pseudomonadati; Gemmatimonadota; Gemmatimonadia; Candidatus Palauibacterales. The record is from RNAcentral.
CGGAGGAAGUGAGAGGUCGCGGGCCGGCCCCGUCGCCUUCGGGCGUCGGAGGCGCGGCUCGAGGAAAGUCCGGGCUGCACAGGGUACGGAGCCGGGGAAGACCCGGGCGCCGCGAGGCGACGGCCAGUGCAACAGAGAGCAGACCGCCGACGGCGGCCGCGCGUUCCGCGAGAGCGGGCGCCGGACGCACGGGCAAGGGUGCAAGGGUGGGGUAAGAGCCCACCGCGCUCGCCGGCAACGGCGGGCGGCACGGCAAACCCCUCCGGCAGCAAGGCCAAAUAGGAAGCGAGCGGCGACCCGCCGCGACGAGCUUCGGGUAGGCCGCGCGAGGCGUCGGGCGACCGGCGUCCGAGAGAGAUGACCUCCCCGGGCAGCGCCCGGGAACAGAACCCGGCUUACUCCCCUCCGCCAC